UUCUGGUCCCUGUCCCCUGCCCAGGGGCUGUCUAAGGGUUCAUCUCUCGCAGGAGCCCCUGUAUCAUCUCAGUAACUAGACCAGUACCCAGUACCAUAUCGACUUCCCCGACUUUGAAAUAAUUUUCACAUGCAAUUCUCAGGUGCACUUCCCUAGAACCUCUCUCACUGUUCUUUGCCUUCCUCCUCUCCCUGCCUUGUAUCUCCGUGGUCCUGCCAAAAAUCGGAAGCUCAUUAUUAAACCAGGAGCUGCCUUACAUUAUCCCAGAGACUAUAGAUGUUAAAUAUUUGCUUCUAUCUCAACUGAGGACUGACAUAGUAAAGGCUCCUUGAGAUGUUAGCUGUCAAGGAGGGGAAUAAAAGUUUUUCAUCUGCAUGAGUAAUUGUUUCCUGUUUUAUCCAGAGAGACAACAGAUUUACAUCCCAGACACAUUCACACUGGGCCAAGAGCAGCUGCCAUUGCAGAUUCCAGUCACGUCCUUUUUUUCCCUCCUUCUCCUUCUUGGAGUUACAACAGAAGCUGGAGAGGUGAGAGUGCUGAAAGGACAUGGAUGAAGCAGGGAGGCACGUGCCUGUCUCAUUCACCUGUGGAUCUGCUGCAUCCAGGACCAUGCCGGCACAAAGUGGGAGCCCAAGGAAUAUUUAUUGAAGAAAUGAAAGGUGACAGAAGGCAGAAGGAGGGAGACUCCAAGAAGAGCUCCCCAUCCACCCUGCUGAGAGCCACCUCCACCACUCAAUGAACCGCCUGCAUUCAUCCUUAAAGUUUAUGUGUGACCUGAUUCUUCCUGGACACGGACAAAGACCUAGGUACCAAGAGGGUCCACUGAACUGUCUAACACUUAAGUCAUCCAUGGACAGCAAGGCUAACAGAAUGCUGUAACAUGUGCCCACUUGGACUCUGGGAGUCACAGACACCCACCCAUAGAUGCUACCAUGGGGCUGGAGCCCAAAAAGUGCUCACCCUGGCUCCUGCACCUGCCCAUCUGCGUGCUCCCCCUCUGGUAAGGGGUUUGAGGAUGUGAGGGCUGAACAUAAGAGCUAUGCCCCUGUCACACGUCAUGGGACAGGGGUCAGGGAACUCUCCCAUUUCACUUUCAAAUAUUCCAGGUCCCCUUUUCAUUUGGGAGCCAGAGUCCAGUGGAGACAGAGAUAGAAAGCCUGAAAUAGGAUCCAGGCAAUAUAAACCUACAUGCUGUAAGC
Non-coding RNA from Chlorocebus sabaeus (green monkey), 1199 nucleotides. Lineage: Eukaryota; Metazoa; Chordata; Mammalia; Primates; Cercopithecidae. The record is from RefSeq and is a predicted model, not a curated record.